This 177-nucleotide ribosomal RNA is filed under the name Brunsvigia comptonii. Its description in RNAcentral is "5.8S ribosomal RNA". The stretch from base 2 to 156 matches the Rfam family "5.8S ribosomal RNA". Rfam says of the family: 5.8S ribosomal RNA (5.8S rRNA) is a component of the large subunit of the eukaryotic ribosome. It is transcribed by RNA polymerase I as part of the 45S precursor that also contains 18S and 28S rRNA. Functionally, it is thought that 5.8S rRNA may be involved in ribosome translocation. Lineage: Eukaryota; Viridiplantae; Streptophyta; Magnoliopsida; Asparagales; Amaryllidaceae. The record is from RNAcentral.
CGACUCUCGGCAACGGAUAUCUUGGUCUCGCAUCGAUGAAGGACGUAGCGAAAUGCCAUACUUGGUGUGAAUUGCAGAAUCCCGUGAACCAUCGAGUCUUUGAACGCAAGUUGCGCCCGAGGCUAUCUGGCUGAGGGCACGCCUGCCUGGGCAUCACGUCUCGCGACGCUUCGUGCC